UCACGCACGCUUAGCUGUCAGACUCCAUUUCUAUGCACACAUCAGAGAAGUCACUGUACAGAUCACUUUCCCUUUCCUUUUGACUUCGAAGCUUCAACAGGAAAGAGAGUCCUUCGCGUAGAGCAAGAGUUUCCGCCACGCUAGCUAAUGAGGCUUUAAAAUUCCUCGCGAACCCAGAAAUUAUGAGUCCAUCUUGGUUCCGGAGGACUCCCGUAGCUGCAGCCUCUCGUGUUUCACUGCACCAAGCUGCGUCGAUGUUCAAUUUGAGGUUCUCCUUCGCCGGCGGAGACCAACGAUCUACUAAGGUUUUCACCUUUUGUGGUCCUUCCUUUUUGUUAGUGUUCCACCUCUCAAACACUUUAUAGUCGCUAAUUGCUUCUUCCACUAUGUUCCAUGGGUUCGGUUUGCGCUGCUGGAAUACCAAGGCGUUUCGUGCCUUCCAAAUCAACCAGAUCAUGCCAGCCAAGAUCGCCGACGAGGGAGGGUCUUCCGACGAGGAAAGGGUGUCACACGACGAUAGGAGGAGGAGGUGUUCGGGAGUCUCCGGGACUCAGCGGCAAAUUGGGCAGAGAGGAUCAGGCGCCAUCUUUCUUCUGUACAGAUUUUCUUUUGUCGGUAGAGCAUUUGUGCAUAUGCUCCAUAAGAAAUGAUGAACCUUGGGGUAGACUGGGAUUUGCCAUAUUUUAGUCCAUAAGUUCCUGGGAGGCUAAUAUGAUGACGAUGCCUGAUUCAUCUGUUGUUGCGAAAUUUGGGAGCAUAACCUAUUGUAGCCACUUUUAACCAAAUAGACUCCUUUUUUGUUCCCUGUCCACACCAAAGUGUCCUCCGAGGGGUUUGUGCUUAGUGGGAUUGUCAGUAUUUCUUGCACCACAUCUUCUUCAUAAAUUUCCUUAAUCAAUUGUGAUUUCCAUUCAUGA
Molecule: RNA transcript, 917 nt
Organism: Syzygium oleosum
Lineage: Eukaryota; Viridiplantae; Streptophyta; Magnoliopsida; Myrtales; Myrtaceae
Exons: 2
Source: RefSeq, a predicted model, not a curated record